GAGUAAGAAAACAAAAGCGCUGGCUUGUGCAGGAGAAAGAUCCUCGGUUUGGUCUUCUCCCCGGUCUAGACAUCACAUCAUUAGCCACAAGUCUGCUACUUUAGCUAGAUAUUUUACACAAAAUGUCCACCACGACCGGCGGCGGCGAGUUUGGCAACCCUUUAAGGAAAUUCAAGCUCGUCUUCUUGGGUGAACAGAGUGUUGGGAAGACCUCCCUCAUAACCAGGUUUAUGUAUGACAGCUUCGACAACACUUAUCAGGCAACAAUCGGCAUUGACUUUUUGUCAAAAACCAUGUAUCUAGAAGAUCGCACGGUCCGACUCCAGCUUUGGGACACUGCUGGACAGGAGCGUUUCCGUAGCCUAAUUCCCAGCUACAUCCGUGACUCUACCAUUGCUGUGGUUGUUUAUGACAUCACCAAUCUUAACUCAUUCCAGCAAACUUCUAAAUGGAUUGAUGAUGUUCGAACAGAGAGAGGAAGUGAUGUCAUUAUUAUGCUUGUUGGGAACAAAACAGACUUGGCAGAUAAAAGGCAAGUUUCUGUUGAGACGGCAGAGAGGAAAGCUCGUGAGCUGAAUGUGAUGUACAUAGAGACCAGUGCCAAGGCUGGUUAUAACGUCAAGCAGACAGAUCACCACGGAGGAGGGCGAGCAGAGAGCUAAGGAACUGAAUGUCAUGUUCAUUGAAACCAGCGCAAAGACUGGCUACAAUGUCAAACAGCUGUUCCGCCGUGUUGCUGCAGCUCUGCCUGGGAUGGACAGCACACCAGAGAAGAGCAAAGAGGACAUGAUCGACAUCAAAUUGGAGAAGCAGCCAGAGAUGACUGUAACCGAGAGCAGCUGCUCAUGCUAGUACACCUUGUCCCCACCCAGCCUGCCCCCCAACACCUCACACACACACACACACCAACAGCUCGUCUCUCAGUGGCGACUCUCUCCACCCGUGGCACCCUGCCACUGGGAUAAAGAGCCUAUCUUUUGUUUUGUUUUUUCUCCUCUUUUUCAACUCGGUGACUUUUCAAAGUAACCAUGUGGAUGUGCAUUACUGUACUGAAUCAGAUUAUCUUUGGGGGAAAAAAUUGUUCAGAUGCAAACACUUAAAACAAAGAUGUUAAAUGAUACGUUCAGAUUUUUAUCCAGUUGCAUGACACUGUAUAUGAUUGCAGACCGACUUAGCUAACCUCUCUUGAGUUAUUGCACAGUUCAGAUUCUUAGUGCUGUUACUCUUGUCGAUGUAAAGUUGUAAACUGCUUGGGAUCGUGUCAAUUAAUACCAGGUUUAAUUCUCUGCCAAGUGUUUAUAUAUAUAUAUAUAUAUAUAUAUAUAUAUAUAUAUAAAUUUCAAAUAGAAAAGUUUUCCUGAAGAUGUUCUUUCUCUCAAGCUAGUCAUAUUUCCUCUAAUUUUAGGGAAGUGAAAGCGGAAUCUCACCAGUCAGUUUGCAUCAUAAAGCCGCGUUUGACUCAAAUUCCCUUUUUUAAAGUCAAAAAGGAUAAAUGGAACCAUUCUUUUUUCUGUCACAAAAAUAUUGAAGUCUUUAUAGAGUCAAGCUGCCAAACUGGAAUUGUGACAAAGUCAGUCCAUUUGAAAGAUUUUGCUGCCAAAAAAAUGAGUUAACAAAUGACAAUGGACUGGAAACCAUGAAAGGGAAGCCAAUUCCAAAAAAAAACAAGAAGGGUUACUGACCUAAACUUUGUCUGCAUUGUGACUUUUACCAGCUAUCGAUGUUCAGAUCUGCUGCACGCGUACUAACACAUCUGAGGAGGAGUGUGAAGUUGCUCAAACGCAUUUAGCUCGUCCCCUCUGAAGGACAGUCCUUCACUCCGAUCGCUAAAGGACGUAGCCACCAUGAUAGUUUGUGUUGUGUUGAUUACACUUGUUGCGAGACCAAGCAGCAUGUUCACCAUGCAGGAUUUCUAUGGAUAAGAACACAGAUGCCUUGCUUGUUUGUUCACUAUGUUGUGCACUGAAUCAAGCCACAAUAUUGUUAAAUAUCAAAGGAGCCUGCUGACCGGUUUAUGGCUUCACCAGUCGUUUUGUAGAGCUGUUAGAUAGACAUCCUCAGAUACAGCUAAUGCUUACUAACACCCUUGCUAUUUAAAAAUAAAUAAAGAGUGCAGAGAAGUUAGUUGCAGGAUCCUUUACUGCGUUGCUUUUGCCUGUGCAGGACUGUUGGUUUUAUGCAUUUAUUUAUUUUGUAACUUACAGAUGACAUUGUACGCUUGACCAAAAGUACAGAUGCUGACGCGCAUGCUAAAGGGUUGUUUUUUUAUUAUUUAAUUUAUUGUUUGCGUGUCUGCUGGGGUAAUAUUUUUUUCUCCUGUGUGUAUAUUGGUUUACAGUCGCAGGUAAAGGCUGCACCAUUUACACACACACAGUUUAACACCAUCCACAAACGACACCAGUCGUUGGCUGUUGCUUGUUUUGAACCGCUCUACAACCAAUUAGAAAGUUUUAGGUAUUUAAUUGAUUUGAAAUGAAACAUUUUAUCACGAGCAGCUCUUCUAUUGUCACUGACUAAAUAACGCAGCUUUGUGCUAUUCUGAAUUGUGUCUGUCUAUUUGAAAUAUGAUGUCUAAUCGUGUUUAGCAACGUUUGUGUGAAUAAUGUACUAUUACUAUCUUAUGUAUAAAAAAGGAGAGUUAAUGAAACACAAGUGUAGGCCUAUCACGUGGAAUUAAAUAAAGAUAUUUCACCAAAAUA
Molecule: RNA transcript, 2699 nt
Organism: Nothobranchius furzeri (turquoise killifish)
Lineage: Eukaryota; Metazoa; Chordata; Actinopteri; Cyprinodontiformes; Nothobranchiidae
Gene: rab41
Gene name: RAB41, member RAS oncogene family
Source: RefSeq, a predicted model, not a curated record